Long non-coding RNA from Hyla sarda, 504 nucleotides. RefSeq lists it as uncharacterized. The record is from RefSeq and is a predicted model, not a curated record. The transcript has 3 exons. NCBI's taxonomy places the organism in Eukaryota, Metazoa, Chordata, Amphibia, Anura, Hylidae.
AGGCUGCAGGGAGAUAGAAAGGUGGCGGAGGGGACAGGAGGAUCUAACACCAAGAGCUGUGAAAUCCUGCAGAGCAUUGCACCUCCACCAAUAUAAUAUCAGAGAACCAGGGACAGACCCCUAUAUACUGCCCGGGGAUGGGGGGUACCUACACCAUAAAGAGUCAUCAUAAAGAAUAUACAAGCCGGCCUGGUGGGAUCGGGAAACAAGGAGCGCAACAGCCGAGGCUGUGCGGGUCGGCGGCGAACAGCUGGUUUCGCAGAGAUCCUCCUCCAGCUGAAUUGCUCCUCCCCCUCCCAUCGAGAAUCAAAGAUGGCAUUGGAAUGUAGCAGAGAUAAGAUGUUACUUUCUAGAAGAAUACAUAGAAGGAGUAUUAACCAAUUAGCUUUUAUUCACACCCAAUUCACGUAACCUCCUGCACACAGCUUUGUAUAACCAUAUAAAUAAAUAUAUAGUCGCUUCCUCUGUAAUAAAGAAAGUAACAACUCAGCUGACAGGUGUCUG